RNAcentral lists this transfer RNA (75 nucleotides) under Sphingobium phage Lacusarx. RNAcentral describes it as "tRNA-Gly". It matches the Rfam family "tRNA". From Rfam's summary of the family: Transfer RNA (tRNA) molecules are approximately 80 nucleotides in length. Lineage: Duplodnaviria; Heunggongvirae; Uroviricota; Caudoviricetes. The record is from RNAcentral.
GCAGGCGUCGUUCAGACGGUAGGACACCUCCUUGCCAUGGAGGAGACGCGGGUUCGAGACCCGCCGCCCGCUCCA